This 168-nucleotide unclassified non-coding RNA is filed under the name uncultured Ascomycota. RNAcentral describes it as "sequence contains ITS2". The record is from RNAcentral. Lineage: Eukaryota; Fungi; Ascomycota.
CAACCUUCAAGCCCUGGCUGCUUGGUAAUAGGGUAGUUUCUGCAGUGUUCUGCUGUAGGCCCUGAAAAUCUUUGGCGGGUAUGUUGUGAAUCCGAGCGUAGUAAAAUCAUUCUCGCUUAGGGGUAUAUGGUAUGUUUUCUAGCUAUUAAACCUACUAUAAUUUUAGAA